AUGAUCGGUGGGGAAACGUCUCUCACCUCUUGCUCCAGAAAGACCAGGAGCACCACGGUCUCCAGGAACACCCUGUUCACCGGAGUUGCCUGCAGUGGGGCUGGCAAGUCCAGGGGGGUCCCUGACCUCCUGCUUCUCCAUCCUUGCCAACAGGACCAACAGUCCCAGGGGGUCCAGGACCAUCUCCCUCUCUGGCUUUGCCAGGCUCUCCAGCAGCACCCAGUCCACAAUGCUCACCAGGGUUCCAGGCAGGCCAGCAGGUCGGGGUUCACCUUGGGCUCCCCACUUCCCUUCUCCAGCAGGGCCAGGGGGACCUUGAAUACCAAUGGGCUGGGCUGUCCCUGCCACCAGCAUCUCUUUUGCUGCCAGGAGCACCAGGUUCAUUCCUGGUCCUCCUGGGACAUGAGAGGCCACUGGGGCCUGAGGCCCAGAGGGGCUCCUCGGGGACCAACUUCACCCUUAGCACCAACAGCUCCAGGGAAGCCAGGAGGCUCACCAGGGCCAGUGGGACCAGCAGCACCAGCAGCAGCAGCAUCAUUUCCACAGGCAUCAGCAGGGCCAGGAGGUCCCGGGUGACCUCUCUCACUGUGGGGGCCCAUCUGACCAGGAGCUCCAUUUUCGCCAGGGCUGCCAGGCUUUCCAACUGCGCCAUUCUUGCCAAGGGGGUUGGGGGGGCCAUGGGGACCCAUGGGACCUGAGGCUCCAGGCUUACCCAGGCGGGCUGGGAAAACUUGGGGUCCCGGUGCACCACUGUCUCCUUUGUAUCCCUCGAUUCCCAUGGUGUCCUGGUCCAUGGCAGGCACCUUGCCUUUGGGGAACCCUUUCUCCAUACAUGAGGGAGGGUCUUCACAGCAUUCUCACCCGCCUCUGAUGUUAAGGGGAACGGCUUCUUGUGGGGCUAUUCCGGCCCAGGUCAUUCCUGUGGCCAGGCCUGGAACCCCCAUAUUCCACACUCCAGGGUCCACUAAGGCUUCUACCUCAGCUGCGGCGUCCGUCGGUUCCUCGCUGGUUUCUGUUAGAACCACAUGGUGAUGAGGGUGGGUCCCUUGCUCCGCCAGAAACAGAGGGACCCCUAACUCUGGGAAUCAAUC
This 1091-nucleotide long non-coding RNA is filed under the name Sus scrofa (pig). RNAcentral's name for it is "lncRNA (ENSSSCG00015030084.1)". The record is from RNAcentral. Lineage: Eukaryota; Metazoa; Chordata; Mammalia; Artiodactyla; Suidae.